GUGUCAGCAGCCGCGGUAAGACGUAGGGCGCGAGCGUUGUCCGGAUUUAUUGGGCGUAAAGAGCUCGUAGGCGGCUCAUUGCGUCAACCGUGAAAACCAGCAGCUCAACUGUUGGCUUGCGGUUGAUACGGGUGGGCUGGAGUUCGGUAGGGGAGACUGGAAUUCCUGGUGUAGCGGUGAAAUGCGCAGAUAUCAGGAGGAACACCGGUGGCGAAGGCGGGUCUCUGGGCCGAUACUGACGCUGAGGAGCGAAAGCGUGGGGAGCGAACAGGAUUAGAAACCCCCGUAGUCC
Molecule: ribosomal RNA, 292 nt
Filed under: uncultured bacterium
Lineage: Bacteria
Description: partial 16S ribosomal RNA
Rfam family: Bacterial small subunit ribosomal RNA
Source: RNAcentral